This 253-nucleotide ribosomal RNA is filed under the name uncultured bacterium. RNAcentral describes it as "partial 16S ribosomal RNA". It matches the Rfam family "Bacterial small subunit ribosomal RNA", at positions 524 to 776 of the family's 1533-position model. The record is from RNAcentral.
GACGAACCGUCCAAACGUUAUUCGGAAUUAUUGGGCGUAAAGCGCGCGUAGGCGGCUCGGAAAGUCGGUCGUGAAAGGCUGGGGCUCAACCCCAGGACUGCGUCCGAUACUUCCGAGCUGGAGGCAGGUAGGGGAGAUCGGAAUUCCUGGUGUAGCGGUGAAAUGCGCAGAUAUCAGGAGGAACACCGGUGGCGAAGGCGGAUCUCUGGGCCUUGCCUGACGCUGAGGCGCGAAAGCUAGGGGAGCGAACAGG